Molecule: small RNA, 177 nt
Filed under: Phascolarctos cinereus (koala)
Lineage: Eukaryota; Metazoa; Chordata; Mammalia; Diprotodontia; Phascolarctidae
Description: TUC338 (ENSPCIG00000011822.2)
Source: RNAcentral
CUGGCAAGCCUGAAAAAUGAAGUCCCCUAUUUAUUUGGCCUCCAGGUCUUGCACAGGAAGCGACACUGCAGGCUUUCUCAAACUGUUGUGCCAAAGUGACCACAAUCUUGACCUGGAAGGCUCACUCUGGGAAUAAGAGGCAAUUCACAUUUCUGACAGCCUCAUUCCCAACCCUCC